UUCCCCGGGGGGAGGGGGGAAGAGGGCGGUGUUCGGCUACGCGAGAGGCUUUCGAGCUUGCUGUCUAUCUAAUGGACGUGCCAGUCGCUGAUCUCUGUAAUAAGCAGUCUUGCUUUCGGUGGUUAUAGGCUUUUCGGGUUGUUUGGCCGUGUUGUGGAGACGGCCCGAAAAUCCUACAACCACCAUCGGAUGCCGGCCCUGAAAGCCUUCGAGAAUACAGUCUUGCUUUCGUUAAAGAGAGUCAGUUAUAAACAAGUAGUAUGCAUUUAAACUUUUGCCGAAGCCUGACAGACUUGUGAGGUAAAUUGGCCAUCUCUGCUCCUUGACCUCAUUGCACCCGUGAGGUCAAGGCGGAGAGUAACUUGCAGUUUGCAGCGUCCGGGGAUUGAGAAGACCCGUGAAUGCAUAGCUGCCCCUUCAGUAAAUCAGGUUGUGAGUGCCUCCCUCCUCUGUACCCUAAAGUAGGAGACCCCACAGAAGUUUCACCUCAAAGCUCAAAAACCUCCUCUCUACAUCUCAUUUUUCCCUGAUGAUUAUCAGUUUGCUGCCUUGACAAAAGAUUUUCAGAAGUUAUCAGAGAUUUUGAAUCUUUGGAUGGCAACAUCAUAAAAAGGAGCAAGGCACCUGGUCCACACACAAUUUCGGAGCACAACUCCAACAAUCCAUUUCCACUGGCUCUGCUGGCUUAAGCUGGAGCUUGGAAAUGUUGGUGUUUUGGACAUCCGUUUCCAGAAUGCUCCAGCCACCAUCAUUAUUGGCCUCGCUGCCUGGAGAAUUCUGUGAGUUGCAGUCAAAAAGAGGCUCUGCACAAUUUGCUUGGGCCAUGAACAUUGCCCCAUGACUGGAUUGCUUCAAGAUCACCUUGGCAUUUUCUGUAGCUGACGGAUGAUGAGUAUCAAAUGAUACAAGAAACCGGCUUUGCAAUUAGAAACUCUGCUUCCUUAACAUCUACCUUGAGGCUUCCACAACUCUACAGGUUGGAAAUGUUGUUUGUUGGUCACUGAGAGAUAAGCAGUGAGCUUAAUUUGCAUGGUAGCUCUGAAGUAAUGCAUUUCUAAAAGGAUUGUUUUUUAUGACCUAACUGCAAAGCUAAUGUAUUCUAUAGUUCGCCAACUGUUUCUGUAUGUGGCUGCCAGGACUGACCACCAAAAUUGUUCAGAAUUCUUCAAAACGAAGAUGAGGAUAGCUCAUCUGUUUUCCCCACUUUUGUUCCUAAGCAAAAUGCUGCCCAAUGGCUAGAUGAUUCCUAUCCAACAUUACUUAGUUACAAAUUAAAAAUGGGCUAAAGAAUAAAAAAUGUUAAAAUAAAACAAACCCCAGACUGUCAAUGUGCUUCCAUGAACAGAGUUGCUUCAUAUUAGUCACGAGAAUGUUAUUUUCCAUUAAAAAAUACUGGCCAGUAUCCAGUGGUGUCGUUGCAUUUGUGCGAAUGAUGUUGACCUUGGAAACAUCUGAUUUGCGAAAGGAAGAGUUGAAAUACAGCUUCUGGUUGUGAAUUUGGUUGUACAGCCAGUAGUAGAACCUGCUGCACAAGCCGUAACAUGCAUGCUGUCACAAGAUGAAAUGUGUUACUGCCUGCAUAACUGGAACAACCGAGUACACUCUACAAGCCCACUGUUUUCCUCUGAUAAUAUUAUGCUGGAUUUCGAUGACUGUUUCCUCUGAAUAAAUACUUCUACUGAAAAACUCUAAUAAGUGUCUUCAGUUAUCCUGUUACUGAGCCAGUGUUUAUAUUAUACUAUGAGGCUACUCAGAAUCCUAAAGUAGUUAUAAACGGACAGACAAUUAUAUUAAAAUUUCAAGUUGAAUUCAUUGCACAUUUAUUUUGCGUAAGUGUGGCAAGCUUGUAGUAUGUGGCAUUCACUAGAGAGAUGAGGAGAAAUUAAGAUAAGUUUGCAUUUCCAGGAAGAAAUUUACCUCUUGGGUUUGCUUGGAAAAUGGCAAGAAAGGAUU
Molecule: non-coding RNA, 1953 nt
Organism: Pogona vitticeps (central bearded dragon)
Lineage: Eukaryota; Metazoa; Chordata; Lepidosauria; Squamata; Agamidae
Source: RefSeq, a predicted model, not a curated record